This 253-nucleotide ribosomal RNA is filed under the name uncultured bacterium. RNAcentral describes it as "partial 16S ribosomal RNA". It matches the Rfam family "Bacterial small subunit ribosomal RNA", at positions 524 to 776 of the family's 1533-position model. The record is from RNAcentral.
GACAGAGGCCUCGAGCGUUAGGCGGAAUCACUGGGCUUAAAGCGUGUGUAGGCGGACGCCUAAGUACCUUGUGAAAUCCCACGGCUCACCCGUGGAACCGCUGGGUAUACUGGGUGUCUUGGGCCAUUCAGGGGCAACUGGAACAAGCGGUGGAGCGGUGAAAUGCGUAGAUAUCGAGAGGAACACCUGCGGCGAAGGCGGGUUGCUGGGCUGACACUGACGCUGAUGCGCGAAAGCCAGGGGAGCGAACGGG